UCCCCGGGAAGCAGCAGGCGCACGGCCGUCUGGAUCUCCCUGGAGGUGAUGGUCGAGCGCUUGUUGUAAUGCGCCAGGCGGGAAGCCUCGCCUGCGAUGCGCUCGAAGAUGUCGUUGACGAAGGAAUUCAUGAUCCCCAUUGCCUUGGAAGAGAUGCCGGUGUCGGGAUGGACCUGCUUCAGCACCUUGUACACAUACACUGAAUAGCUCUCCUUGCGGCUGCGCUUGCGCUUCUUCCCGUCCUUCUUCUGAGCCUUAGUCACCGCCUUCUUGGAGCCCUUCUUUGGGGCAGGAGCAGACUUGGUAGGUUCAGGCAUCGUAGCGUUAAUAGUUAGAACACUGUUGCAAACA
Molecule: long non-coding RNA, 351 nt
Filed under: Homo sapiens (human)
Lineage: Eukaryota; Metazoa; Chordata; Mammalia; Primates; Hominidae
Description: HSALNT0102851
Source: RNAcentral